RNAcentral lists this ribosomal RNA (440 nucleotides) under uncultured bacterium. RNAcentral's name for it is "partial 16S ribosomal RNA". It matches the Rfam family "Bacterial small subunit ribosomal RNA", at positions 338 to 795 of the family's 1533-position model. The record is from RNAcentral.
CCUACGGGUGGCAGCAGUGGGGAAUAUUGCACAAUGGGGGAAACCCUGAUGCAGCAACGCCGCGUGAGUGAAGAAGUCAUUCGUGAUGUAAAGCUCUAUCAGCAGGGAAGAAAAUGACGGUACCUGACUACGAAGCCCCGGCUAACUACGUGCCAGCAGCCGCGGUAAUACGUAGGGGGCAAGCGUUAUCCGGAUUUACUGGGUGUAACGGGAGCGUAGACGGCGACGCAAGUCUGAAGUGAAAUGCCAGGGCUCAACACUGGAACUGCUUUGGAAACUGGGUGGCUAGAGUGCAGGAGAGGUAAGUGGAAUUCCUAGUGUAGCGGUGAAAUGCGUAGAUAUUAGGAGGAACACCAGUGGCGAAGGCGGCUUACUGGACUGUAACUGACGUUGAGGCUCGAAGGCGUGGGGAGCAAACAGGAUUAGAUACCCCUGUAGUC